This 293-nucleotide ribosomal RNA is filed under the name uncultured microorganism. Its description in RNAcentral is "partial 16S ribosomal RNA". It matches the Rfam family "Bacterial small subunit ribosomal RNA", at positions 505 to 796 of the family's 1533-position model. The record is from RNAcentral.
GUGCCAGCAGCCGCGGUAAUACGUAGGGUGCGAGCGUUGUCCGGAAUUAUUGGGCGUAAAGAGCUCGUAGGCGGUGUGUCGCGUCGGCCGUGAAAACUCGCAGCUUAACUGUGGGCGUGCGGUCGAUACGGGCAUCACUGGAGUUCGGCAGGGGAGACUGGAAUUCCUGGUGUAGCGGUGAAAUGCGCAGAUAUCAGGAGGAACACCGGUGGCGAAGGCGGGUCUCUGGGCCGAUACUGACGCUGAGGAGCGAAAGCGUGGGGAGCGAACAGGAUUAGAUACCCUGGUAGUCC